UACACAUGCAGUCGAGCGGGGGAGAUUGCUUCGGUAAUUGACCUAGCGGCGGACGGGUGAGUAAUACUUAGGAAUCUGCCUAUUAAUGGGGGACAACAUCUCGAAAGGGAUGCUAAUACCGCAUACGCCCUACGGGGGAAAGCAGGGGAUCACUUGUGACCUUGCGUUAAUAGAUGAGCCUAAGUCGGAUUAGCUAGUUGGUGGGGUAAAGGCCUACCAAGGCGACGAUCUGUAGCGGGUCUGAGAGGAUGAUCCGCCACACUGGGACUGAGACACGGCCCAGACUCCUACGGGAGGCAGCAGUGGGGAAUAUUGGACAAUGGGGGGAACCCUGAUCCAGCCAUGCCGCGUGUGUGAAGAAGGCCUUAUGGUUGUAAAGCACUUUAAGCGAGGAGGAGGCUCCUGUAGUUAAUACCUACAGUGAGUGGACGUUACUCGCAGAAUAAGCACCGGCUAACUCUGUGCCAGCAGCCGCGGUAAUACAGAGGGUGCGAGCGUUAAUCGGAUUUACUGGGCGUAAAGCGUGCGUAGGCGGCUUUUUAAGUCGGAUGUGAAAUCCCCGAGCUUAACUUGGGAAUUGCAUUCGAUACUGGGAAGCUAGAGUAUGGGAGAGGAUGGUAGAAUUCCAGGUGUAGCGGUGAAAUGCGUAGAGAUCUGGAGGAAUACCGAUGGCGAACGCAGCCAUCUGGCCUAAUACUGA
Molecule: ribosomal RNA, 700 nt
Filed under: Acinetobacter sp.
Lineage: Bacteria; Pseudomonadati; Pseudomonadota; Gammaproteobacteria; Moraxellales; Moraxellaceae
Description: bacterial SSU rRNA
Rfam family: Bacterial small subunit ribosomal RNA
Source: RNAcentral